AAGUCGUAACAAGGUUUCCGUAGGUGAACCUGCGGAAGGAUCAUUAACACGUUAUCCAUACGUUAACCAAUGAGAAUCGUUUUCACCCUCCCUUCACGGAGAAUGAGCGGGGUUCGUAGAGGUGUUGGAAGGGAUUGCUUCGGCAAUCAGCCUCUAUCUACUAUUUUUGCAUUACAGAAAUGUUUGCAAAGACGCUGUAUCUUUUGUGGAGAUUAAUCUCGCCAGAGCUCCCCUUUCAUUGAGAGCUGGUCGGGAACUAUAUUAACUUAUUUCACCUUUUGCUAGUUGACUUUUAUAUGUUGGACACUGUGCAUUGCAUUUUGUUCACACGUUUAUUAUUUGAACGUUAAAAUUACAACUCUUAGCAAUGGAUAUCUUGGUUCUC
Molecule: unclassified non-coding RNA, 385 nt
Filed under: fungal sp.
Lineage: Eukaryota; Fungi
Description: partial internal transcribed spacer region
Rfam family: Eukaryotic small subunit ribosomal RNA (bases 1-46)
Source: RNAcentral